AGGACGAACGCUGGCGGCGUGCCUAACACAUGCAAGUCGAGCGGGAAUUUACGAAUUGAAGCUUCGGCCGAUUUCGUAAAGGAUAGCGGCGGACGGGUGAGUAACGCGUGAGUAACCUGCCCUUAAGAGGGGGAUAACACACCGAAAGGUGUGCUAAUACCGCAUAAUGUGCAUUUAUCGCAUGGUAGAUGUACCAAAGAUUUAUCGCUUAAGGAUGGACUCGCGUCUGAUUAGAUAGUUGGUGAGGUAACGGCUCACCAAGUCGACGAUCAGUAGCCGAACUGAGAGGUUGAUCGGCCACAUUGGGACUGAGACACGGCCCAGACUCCUACGGGAGGCAGCAGUGGAGAAUAUUGCGCAAUGGGGGCAACCCUGACGCAGCAACGCCGCGUGAAGGAUGAAGGUCUUCGGAUCGUAAACUUUUGUCUUAUGGGAAGAACAAGGACGGUACCAUAGGAGGAAGCCACGGCUAACUACGUG
Molecule: ribosomal RNA, 480 nt
Filed under: uncultured bacterium
Lineage: Bacteria
Description: bacterial SSU rRNA
Rfam family: Bacterial small subunit ribosomal RNA
Source: RNAcentral